RNAcentral lists this long non-coding RNA (1103 nucleotides) under Ananas comosus (pineapple). RNAcentral's name for it is "long non-coding RNA (ACOM_LNC022013)". Lineage: Eukaryota; Viridiplantae; Streptophyta; Magnoliopsida; Poales; Bromeliaceae. The record is from RNAcentral.
AAUUUAAAAUUUAAAAUCUAAUUAUAAUUUUAAAAUUUGAAUUUACAAUUGAAAAUUGAGUCUAAACUCAGUACUCACUUUUUCACUCUCCUCUCUAACUUUUAAAAAUUUAUAAUUUUUCCCUCAACAUUUCAAGUUGUUUAAUUUAGCCUCCCUUCGUCUGGUUCCAUCACUAUUCUGUUCAUUUUCUUAUAAUUUAUAUCGAAAAUAUCUUUGAAAUGACAAAAAUAUGUUAAAAAUUAUUUUUAUAGAAAAAAUAAGGAUAAUUUGGUCAUUUUGUCUUCUCUAUUAUAUUUGUAUCCUCUAAAAAUAUUUUUAAAAUUUUAAGAAGAUAAAAUAUAGAUUUUUAACAGUAAAAAAAAUAUGUACAGAAAAAUUUUCGAUAACUUAGUCCAAAUUUUAUAAUUCAUGUUACCAAACGCUCAGUUGAUCCAAAAAUUAUUUUUGAUCCCAAAAUUAUUUUUAAAAGCUAAACCAUAUACUUUUUUGGGUUAAUUUUAUACAGGUCUCCCAUGUAGCUUAAUUCACGUUCUUGCUGAAUGAAGCGGAUAGCGUGCUACCCUUCUCUCAAAAAAAAAUUUUAUACAGGUCUCUAUAAAGGUAUAAGUGAAUUGCAAAUAUAUUUUUAUAAAAUUUAACUUUCAUAUAUUAUUCUUGUAAAAAUCUUAAUAUUUUCAAAUAUGUCAUUCUGAUUUGUUACUUUUAAAAUACUGUUGAUUUUAUAAGUGAAAUAACUUUUCUGUCAUCAUAAAUAUGUCCUUCUAAANAUUUCACUUAUAAAAUUUAACUUUCAUAUAUUAUUCUUACAAAAAUUAUAAUAUUUUCAAAUAUGUCCUUCUAAAAGUUCUAACUAUUAAUUGAAGAGUGAUAAAAAGGUCAAUUCAUCUCAUUAACUAACUAGAGUUAAAUAUUUUAUCUAUGAUUAACUAAUUUUUUCUAACGGAUACUACCGCAGGUACAUAUUUGAAAAUAUUAUAAUUUUUAUAGAAAUAAUAUAUGAAAGUUGAAUUUUAUUAUAGAAAUAUAUUUAUAAUUUAUUAUAUUUGUAGGGAUCUAUAUAUAAUUAUUUUUAUUUUUAUUUUUAUUUUUUUAUUUUGGGUAUA